AACGAACGCUGGCGGCAUGCCUAACACAUGCAAGUCGAACGAGAUCUUCGGGUCUAGUGGCGCACGGGUGCGUAACGCGUGGGAAACUGCCCUUUGGUUCGGAAUAACAGUUGGAAACGACUGCUAAUACCGGAUGAUGACGAAAGUCCAAAGAUUUAUCGCCAGAGGAUGAGCCCGCGUAGGAUUAGCUAGUUGGUGUGGUAAAGGCGCACAAAGGCGACGAUCCUUAGCUGGUCUGAGAGGAUGAUCAGCCACACUGGGACUGAGACACGGCCCAGACUCCUACNNNNNGCAGCAGUGGGGANUAUUGGACAAUGGGCGAAAGCCUGAUCCAGCAAUGCCGCGUGAGUGAUGAAGGCCUUAGGGUUGUAAAGCUCUUUUACCCGNGAUGAUAAUGACAGUACCGGGAGAAUAAGCUCCGGCUAACUCCGUGCCAGCCGCCGCGGUAA
RNAcentral lists this ribosomal RNA (449 nucleotides) under uncultured bacterium. RNAcentral's name for it is "partial 16S ribosomal RNA". It matches the Rfam family "Bacterial small subunit ribosomal RNA", at positions 29 to 523 of the family's 1533-position model. The record is from RNAcentral.